This 535-nucleotide long non-coding RNA is filed under the name Capra hircus (goat). RNAcentral's name for it is "lncRNA (ENSCHIG00010022554.1)". Lineage: Eukaryota; Metazoa; Chordata; Mammalia; Artiodactyla; Bovidae. The record is from RNAcentral.
GCACAAAAUGUCGGCCCGGACGCCAUUGCCGACGGUGAACGAGCGGGACACGGAGAACGUGAGUAGCCGGAGCCUCCCCGGCAAGCGGUGGGGCCGGGCGCUGCCCCCCGACCGCCGCUUCACCUUCCGCGUGGGCCGCCCGGGGUCCUCAGGGCGGCCACCCGCCGCAGGGUCUCCACCCGGAGCCCGGCNUGACCCUCGCCCCCCGGCUCAGCCCCUGUCCUCCUUUCCAGCCCCAUUUCGCUGCUUUCCUCUGAAGGGCGAGGGUUGGGGGGCGCCGUCGGUGGCGCCCUCCCCGCGGAGGGCUUUAUUUCCACUCAGCAUUCCGUAUUCCCCACCCGAAUGUUUGCUUUAUGAUCACAGACGAGCCGGCCGACUGCCUCUUCUCCCCUUGCUUUUCUGGCUCUUUCGGUCCUUUGCACCCCACCCCCCUGCAUUGCCCCAUGACUUUGCUUUUUAUCACAUUAGGUCCACAGUUGGGUCUUGGGCACCAAAGGGGAACGGUCGGGGAUGGAAGGGACGAGAAGGGGAGUAG